GUGGAAGCAGUGUGUAUUUGUGUAUAAGGGAUGUAUUAUGUGUUUCUGGUUGUGUGUAAGGGAUGCAUUGUGUGAAUCUGUGUUUGUAUGCAUAAGGGAUGCAAGGUGUGUGUCUGUAUGUGUGUGCAUGAGAUGCAUUGUGUUUCUGUGUGUAUGUAAGAAAAGAAAUGUGUGUGUUUGCAUGCGUGUGUACGGGUUUGCAUUGUCAUAUACAGUUUCUGUGUAUGUGUGCAAAGGAUGCAUUGUCUUUGUGUGUAAGGGUUGCAUUGUGUGUGUGUGUGUAAUGGAUGCAUUGUGUGUUUAUCUGUGUGUAAGGGAAGCAUGUUGUGUUUCUGUGUAUGUAUAGGGAUGCAUUGUGUGUGUGUGCGCGCGUAGUGUGAAAGAGCUCCCUGUCUUGGCCCC
Molecule: long non-coding RNA, 402 nt
Filed under: Pelobates cultripes (western spadefoot toad)
Lineage: Eukaryota; Metazoa; Chordata; Amphibia; Anura; Pelobatidae
Source: RNAcentral